Molecule: ribosomal RNA, 496 nt
Filed under: uncultured Rhodoplanes sp.
Lineage: Bacteria; Pseudomonadati; Pseudomonadota; Alphaproteobacteria; Hyphomicrobiales; Nitrobacteraceae
Description: bacterial SSU rRNA
Rfam family: Bacterial small subunit ribosomal RNA
Source: RNAcentral
AGCCCGCUCAGAAACUUAAAUGAAUUGACGGGGCCCGCACAAGCGGUGGAGCAUGUGGUUUAAUUCGAUGCAACGCGAAGAACCUUACCUGGUCUUGACAUCCACAGAACUUGGCAGAGAUGCCUUGGUGCCUUCGGGAACUGUGAGACAGGUGCUGCAUGGCUGUCGUCAGCUCGUGUUGUGAAAUGUUGGGUUAAGUCCCGCAACGAGCGCAACCCUUAUCAUUAGUUACUAACAGGUCAUGCUGAGGACUCUAGUGAGACUGCCGUCGUAAGAUGUGAGGAAGGUGGGGAUGACGUCAAAUCAGCACGGCCCUUACGUCCGGGGCUACACACGUGUUACAAUGGGGGGUACAGAGGGCAGCUACCGGGCGACCGGAUGCCAAUCCCAAAAACCUCUCUCAGUUCGGAUCGAAGUCUGCAACCCGACUUCGUGAGGCUGGAUUCGCUAGUAAUCGCGCAUCAGCCACGGCGCGGUGAAUACGUUCCCGGGCCUU